CGGCAACAGCUCAAAUUUGAAAUCUGGCCCUUGUGGUCCGAGUUGUAAUUUGUAGAGGAUGCUUUUGGUGCGGUGCCUUCCGAGUUCCCUGGAACGGGACGCCAUAGAGGGUGAGAGCCCCGUCUGGUUGGACACCAAGCCUCUGUAAAGCUCCUUCGACGAGUCGAGUAGUUUGGGAAUGCUGCUCUAAAUGGGAGGUAUAUGUCUUCUAAAGCUAAAUAUUGGCCAGAGACCGAUAGCGCACAAGUAGAGUGAUCGAAAGAUGAAAAGCACUUUGAAAAGAGGGUUAAAUAGUACGUGAAAUUGUUGAAAGGGAAGCGUUUGUGACCAGACUUGGGCUUGGUUAAUCAUCCGGCGUUCUCGCCGGUGCACUUUGCCAGCCCAGGCCAGCAUCAGUUCGUCGCGGGGGAUAAAGGUAGCGGGAAUGUGGCUCCUCGGAGUGUUAUAGCCCGUUGCGUAAUACCCUGUGGUGGACUGAGGUUCGCGCAUCUGCAAGGAUGCUGGCGUAAUGGUCAUCAACGACCCGUCUUGAAACACGGACCAAGGAGUCGUCUUCGUAUGCGAGUGUUCGGGUGUCAAACCCCUACGCGUAAUGAAAGUGAACGCAGGUGAGAGCUUCGGCGCAUCAUCGACCGAUCCUGAUGUUCUCGGAUGGAUUUGAGUAAGAGCAUACGGGGCCGGACCCGAAAGAAGGUGAACUAUGCCUGUAUAGGGUGAAGCCAGAGGAAACUCUGGUGGAGGCUCGCAGCGGUUCUGACGUGCAAAUCGAUCGUCAAAUAUGGGCAUGGGGGCGAA
Molecule: ribosomal RNA, 795 nt
Filed under: Thyronectria virens
Lineage: Eukaryota; Fungi; Ascomycota; Sordariomycetes; Hypocreales; Nectriaceae
Description: eukaryotic LSU rRNA
Rfam family: Eukaryotic large subunit ribosomal RNA
Source: RNAcentral